This 465-nucleotide ribosomal RNA is filed under the name uncultured bacterium. RNAcentral describes it as "partial 16S ribosomal RNA". It matches the Rfam family "Bacterial small subunit ribosomal RNA", at positions 338 to 795 of the family's 1533-position model. The record is from RNAcentral.
CCUACGGGAGGCAGCAGUAGGGAAUAUUCCACAAUGGGCGAAAGCCUGAUGCAGCAACGCCGCGUGAGUGAAGAAGGCCUUCGGAUUGUAAAACUCUGUUGUUAGAGAAGAAAGUGCGUGCGUGUCACUGUUAACGUUUCGCCGCUAUCUAACCAGCAAGCCCCGGCUAACUACGUGCCAGCAGCCGCGGUAAUACGUAGGUGGCAAGCGUUAUCCGGAUUUAGUGGGGGGAAAGGGAACGCAGGCGGGCAUUUAAGCCAGAUGUGAAAGCCUUUGGCUCAACCUGUGUAGUGCAUUGGAAACUGUGGUACGUGAGUGCAGGAGAGGAGAGUGGAACUCCAUGUGUAGCGGUGAAAUGCGUAGAUAUAAGGAAGAACACCAGUGGCGAAGGCGGCUCUCUGGACUGUAACUGACGCUGAGGUUCGAAAGCGUGGGUAGCAAACAGGAUUAGAUACCCUUGUAGUC